UACGGGGGGGGCAAGCGUUGUUCGGAAUUACUGGGCGUAAAGGGCUCGUAGGCGGCCAACUAAGUCAGACGUGAAAUCCCUCGGCUUAACCGGGGAACUGCAUCUGAUACUGGAUGGCUUGAGUUCGGGAGAGGGAUGCGGAAUUCCAGGUGUAGCGGUGAAAUGCGUAGAUAUCUGGAGGAACACCAAUAGCGAAGGCAGCUCGCUGGGACGUUUACUGACACUGAGGCGCGAAAGCGUGGGGAGCGAACAGG
RNAcentral lists this ribosomal RNA (254 nucleotides) under uncultured bacterium. RNAcentral's name for it is "partial 16S ribosomal RNA". It matches the Rfam family "Bacterial small subunit ribosomal RNA", at positions 524 to 776 of the family's 1533-position model. The record is from RNAcentral.